AGAUUUUCUCUCCAAGAUCCAAAUUUUCCAUUUCCAGAACUUCACCAGAAAAACGGAAAACAGAAACCCACCACCAAUCACUGCGCUUUCCCUUUUUCCCGGCAAAUUCAUACUAUUUCUUCUUUCCACACUGUUUUUCAAACUCCAGUAGUUGAUCACGAGUUUUCUUAUUUUAACAACUCUGUUAGAGCCCAGAUUUCAUUUCCCUGGAAAGUGGAUUUCUCCUUCAG
This 230-nucleotide unclassified non-coding RNA is filed under the name Hevea brasiliensis (rubber tree). Lineage: Eukaryota; Viridiplantae; Streptophyta; Magnoliopsida; Malpighiales; Euphorbiaceae. The record is from RNAcentral.